This 88-nucleotide ribozyme is filed under the name Aedes aegypti (yellow fever mosquito). Its description in RNAcentral is "drz-agam-1 ribozyme". It matches the Rfam family "drz-agam-1 ribozyme". Lineage: Eukaryota; Metazoa; Arthropoda; Insecta; Diptera; Culicidae. The record is from Rfam by way of RNAcentral.
UGCCCAGCAACUCCUAUCCCUACCUCCUCGUGGUACUGGCCGGGGUACGUGUAAUCUUGGGGAAGAACAGGUAACCAACUAGAGAUGG